RNAcentral lists this ribosomal RNA (498 nucleotides) under uncultured bacterium. Its description in RNAcentral is "bacterial SSU rRNA". It matches the Rfam family "Bacterial small subunit ribosomal RNA", at positions 30 to 523 of the family's 1533-position model. The record is from RNAcentral.
AUUGAACGCUGGCGGAAUGCUUUACACAUGCAAGUCGAACGGCAGCACGGGGCAACCUGGUGGCGAGUGGCGAACGGGUGAGUAAUACAUCGGAACGUGCCCAAUCGUGGGGGAUAACGUAGCGAAAGUUACGCUAAUACCGCAUACGAUCUACGGAUGAAAGCGGGGGAUCGCAAGACCUCGCGCGAAUGGAGCGGCCGAUGUCAGAUUAGGUAGUUGGUGGGGGUAAAGGCUCACCAAGCCAACGAUCUGUAGCUGGUCUGAGAGGACGACCAGCCACACUGGAACUGAGACACGGUCCAGACUCCUACGGGAGGCAGCAGUGGGGAAUUUUGGACAAUGGGCGCAAGCCUGAUCCAGCCAUUCCGCGUGCAGGAUGAAGGCCUUCGGUUGUAAACUGCUUUGUACGGAACGAAAGGUACCUGGUUAAUACCUGGGCUCAUGACGGUACCGUAAGAAUAAGACACCGGCUAACUACGUAGCCAGCAGCCGCGGUAA